GAUCAUUUAGUUGGGCACUCUAAUGAGACUGCCGGUGACAAACCGGAGGAAGGUGGGGAUGACGUCAAGUCCUCAUGGCCCUUAUAGGUAGGGCUACACACGUCAUACAAUGGCUGGUACAAAGGGUUGCCAACCCGCGAGGGGGAGCUAAUCCCAUAAAGCCAGUCGUAGUCCGGAUCGCAGUCUGCAACUCGACUGCGUGAAGUCGGAAUCGCUAGUAAUCGUGGAUCAGAAUGUCACGGUGAAUACGUUCCCGGGUCUU
This 262-nucleotide ribosomal RNA is filed under the name uncultured Rhodoferax sp. RNAcentral describes it as "partial 16S ribosomal RNA". It matches the Rfam family "Bacterial small subunit ribosomal RNA", at positions 1119 to 1382 of the family's 1533-position model. The record is from RNAcentral. Lineage: Bacteria; Pseudomonadati; Pseudomonadota; Betaproteobacteria; Burkholderiales; Comamonadaceae.